CUAGUAUUUUUGGUUGGAGCAUGAGGACUUUACUUCAGAACCCUGAGUUGAGUGCUCCAUGUGGCUAGAAGAAAAGACCCCAGAGAAAGCUGUAGUUGGCAUGCAUCUUGCCCGAGACACUGAAGAGACAUCUGGAACCUCAAAGGAUGCCUCCAUAUCCCAAGGCAGAAAAAUUAAAGGUUCCGUCUCAGAAGAUGAAGAAGAUGAAGAGGAUGGGAAGAUCAUAGCUACAACUACCUCAGAAAUCCUUAUUCCUCCCCGGCAACGGUCUUCCACGCUUCAAAAAAUCUCCAACGCAUGGAGCAGAGUUUUCUCCCGAACGUCUGUUGGCAAGACUGAAUCUACAACAGAACAAGCAGGAGCACAGAUAAAAUGAAACUGUUUAUUUUUUAUUUAUAAAUUUGAGAGAAUAAAUAUUUUCAUUCAAAGAU
This 431-nucleotide long non-coding RNA is filed under the name Salvator merianae (Argentine black and white tegu). RNAcentral's name for it is "lncRNA (ENSSMRG00000020803.1)". Lineage: Eukaryota; Metazoa; Chordata; Lepidosauria; Squamata; Teiidae. The record is from RNAcentral.